GAACACUUGAGGACUUGAAUUGCA
This 24-nucleotide non-coding RNA is filed under the name Arabidopsis thaliana (thale cress). Lineage: Eukaryota; Viridiplantae; Streptophyta; Magnoliopsida; Brassicales; Brassicaceae. The record is from RNAcentral.